GCUUCUAUAGCUCAGUCGGCAGAGCGCGUCCUUGGUAAGGACGAGGUCAUCAGUUCGAAUCUGAUUAGAAGCU
RNAcentral lists this transfer RNA (73 nucleotides) under Oscillospiraceae bacterium. RNAcentral's name for it is "tRNA-Thr". It matches the Rfam family "tRNA". Rfam says of the family: Transfer RNA (tRNA) molecules are approximately 80 nucleotides in length. The record is from RNAcentral. Lineage: Bacteria; Bacillati; Bacillota; Clostridia; Eubacteriales; Oscillospiraceae.